GAGAAUAUGAUAACAAAUAAUUUUUACAGUCGUAAAAAAACACUGAAAUGUUCUAAAAAUGUCCAACAUGUCAAAUAUAAAUGAAAGUAUCAAUAUUGUAGAUCCACAGUUACCUCUGAUAUAUCUCUCCAUGCUGUAUUGAAAUAAGCAGUAUCUAUUGUAUUACUAUCAUGAUGAGCUAGUUUAUUCCUGUAACAUUUUAUCCUGGCUAGAUCAGAUCCUGGAGUUAUCUCCCCUGGUAGUGGUAGACUGUCAAAUCCAUUGACUGGAGGAUUGAUAGAUGUUAAGUUUCUGAUUAAACAGAUCAUCAACGUUACAUCAAAUGUUUUGGAAUCCGGAAUACCCCUGUAACAUCAAAAGCAACAGAAAUGUAUCACUUAUAAUCCUAAAAUCAGUGUUAAAAGGUGUUAUGCUGGAGUAUUUCACUCACCAUUUUAAAUAUUACGUAAAACUA
Molecule: long non-coding RNA, 454 nt
Filed under: Mytilus galloprovincialis (Mediterranean mussel)
Lineage: Eukaryota; Metazoa; Mollusca; Bivalvia; Mytilida; Mytilidae
Source: RNAcentral